GACGAACGCUGGCGGCGUGCUUAACACAUGCAAGUCGAACGAUGAAGCUAGAGCUUGCUCUGGUGGAUUAGUGGCGAACGGGUGAGUGACACGUGAGUAACCUGCCCCGAACUCUGGGAUAACUGCGGGAAACUGUAGCUAAUACCGGAUACGACCCUCGGCGGCAUCGCCAGGGGGUGGAAAGAAUUUCGGUCAAGGAUGGACUCGCGGCCUAUCAGCUAGUUGGUGAGGUAACGGCUCACCAAGGCGACGACGGGUAGCCGGCCUGAGAGGGUGACCGGCCACACUGGGACUGAGACACGGCCCAGACUCCUACGGGAGGCAGCAGUGGGGAAUAUUGCACAAUGGGCGCAAGCCUGAUGCAGCAACGCCGCGUGAGGGAUGACGGCCUUCGGGUUGUAAACCUCUUUUAGUAGGGAAGAAGCGAAAGUGACGGUACCUGCAGAAAAAGCACCGGCUAACUACGUGCCAGCAGCCGCCGUAA
This 484-nucleotide ribosomal RNA is filed under the name uncultured bacterium. RNAcentral describes it as "partial 16S ribosomal RNA". It matches the Rfam family "Bacterial small subunit ribosomal RNA", at positions 28 to 523 of the family's 1533-position model. The record is from RNAcentral.